GGGACAACAUUGUGUGACAAAAUUGUGGGGAAUGUACAUUGCUUAAAAAAUAGCAAUUUUAACAAUUUUUUUGUUUAUUUAAAUGUUAUUCAUGCUGUGACUUAAUUUCUGUCAUGUAUGCAAAUGUUACUUUAAUUAAACAAUAUUUUGUUUAGAAACUUACAUUGAUACGGUUGCGCUUUAGACGCCAUCUUGUGGUCCGAUGCGAAAUGUAUUAUCAACGCGAACUCAGUGCAUUAUGGGUACUUUCUGUCCUGUGCACUUCAUAACAUCCACUAUUAUUUCAGACACCCAAAGAAAUGGCUGUCCUCUCAAAUAGUAUACUUUUUAGUUGGUAUGUGAUGCGAUUUCGGAUACAGCCAUAGAGAAAGGACCUCAUCCAUCGAUCACAGAAGGCGACAUGUUUUCAGAAACAGAUGUGUCAUUCUUGCACAACUGUCUUCCUGUGAUAAACAGCUCUUGUUUCCUCAAUACCUCGGUGACUCAUUGAAGACUGGAUUUGGACCAGAUGUGUGAACCACAAAGAUACUACAGACUUUCAGAGAGAUUAAAAAAGGCCUUUUAAUAAUGACUCAGACUGGAUGUCUGGCCUCCUGUGGGGACCGAGAGCGCACUUGUUGCCGGUUCUGUCCAGCUCUGCUCUGAUUUACUGAGCCUCUGGCCUGUGUGCAAUCCCAGACACACAAAAGAGGUGUGAUGUGUGAUCCCGCAGACGCCACCGAUGAUACUGAAGCAACAAGAGCAAAACUAAACGCAGCCAAGUAAGGUUUGAACACCAGACAACUGACGUGACACUUUUUUUUUUUUUUUUACUUAUGCAUUUUAUGCUCUCAUUUUCCUAUUAAACAAAUUAGCAGCUAUAAAACCACAAUCAGUGAAGGUGGACUGGUCAGAGUAAAUGUUGAAUUGGGAACACAUUGAGGCUUUUUGACAGUGUCAUUGAUCUGCAGUGAAUUAUGAUCUGUUUUUGUCAGUCAUAACUACAUUCAGAUUUUCACUGGUAAACAGGUUUGCAGAUGUCUGGAGGAUCUUUUAUACAAUGCAUUUCUCUCUAAAUCUAAUUUUGUUUGAAAAAGGUAAAUUGUACAUUAUUGACUUGUGUGUGUGUGUGU
Danio rerio (zebrafish) is the source of this 1112-nucleotide non-coding RNA. Lineage: Eukaryota; Metazoa; Chordata; Actinopteri; Cypriniformes; Danionidae. The record is from RefSeq and is a predicted model, not a curated record.